AAUUAAAACCCAACUAAUAUGUG
RNAcentral lists this non-coding RNA (23 nucleotides) under Cricetulus griseus (Chinese hamster). Lineage: Eukaryota; Metazoa; Chordata; Mammalia; Rodentia; Cricetidae. The record is from RNAcentral.